Long non-coding RNA from Syngnathoides biaculeatus (alligator pipefish), 1320 nucleotides. RefSeq lists it as uncharacterized. The transcript has 5 exons. NCBI's taxonomy places the organism in Eukaryota, Metazoa, Chordata, Actinopteri, Syngnathiformes, Syngnathidae. The record is from RefSeq and is a predicted model, not a curated record.
CGCCACGAGAACGAGGAGGAGACUCCGCGCCUCCGCCAUGAUGAUUUCUUCCCCCUGCAACAAGAGAGAAGUAGCAGCCAUGUUGUCAUCGCUGAAGUCAAGAGUAAACAACCGCAAAUGAUGCACGUGGCGUGACGUCACUUCAGGAGGCGUGGUUAAGUGCCCUUGUACGGAGGGGUCAAUUAAGUGCGUUAAUUGCCAGUUUCGUGGCUGUGAGAAAACAUUCCACAGGCUGACGGCUUUUCGUGAAAAGCGAUGUCAAUAUUUUCCCAAACUUCAUCAGUGGAUAAGCAAGAAAACACAUUUUCUACCCGCGCCCACCACAUCAGUCGCCGACUGGUGGAGGAACUCUUUGGAAUGUCAUGUGCGUGGCGGGUGUCAGAAAGAGAUGAAGAAGAAAGAAAGAGGAGCUCCGGGUCAAUGUGACAGGAUUAUCAAUUGAGUUCUUACUCAAGAAGGACCACAGGAGAUUCAUUGCAGCUGCUCUCGUCUGCUCAAACCCUCCAGCAGACCCAGACACAGAACCGAUCCCGUACCCGGCCCACGCCAGAGUACCAUCUGGAGAACAGAUGUGGUCUCGGCCACUUCCUCUUUGUCUCAUCCAAAACUGAACGCCACCUUUUCAGCUUGUUACUGUAAGUGACAAAUGAUUUAUUGACACACACCGAAGUCAAACUGCGCCUUGGACCGGUUUUGAUACUUCUGGACUUCGGCUGACUUAUGAAGUCGGGUCAAUUUUUACACGGCAUGCUCGCACCACCCACCAUUAGUCUUAUUCUUGGCUGCACACAUUUUACACAAAGUCCACUCUCUCACUUUCAUGACUUUAUUAUUAUGACUACAGUAACAUAUUAUUAAUCCAUUACUAUGACUACAUGAUUAUUAGGAAUACAUUGAUAUUAGGACUGCAGUACACUUAUAUAAUGACAAUGUUGCUAUUGUGACUACAUUAUUAUCAUUAUUAUCACAAAAGCAUUGAUAUUAUAAUGACCCAAUGAAUACUACUGAGCCAACGUUAGUAUUAUGACGAUCACAACAAAGUUAAAAUACUUUGAUGUUAUUUUAUUAGUAAUUGAGACUGCAUGAGUACCACUAUGCCUACCUUAUUAUAAUGACUAUACUAUUAUCCCUAUGGCCACAUGAGUGUAUAAAUACAUUUACAUUAUGACUACAUUCAUAUUAUACUAUGACUAUACAAAUUAUGGUAUGACUACACUAAAAUUCGACUAGAUUAGUGUUUUUUUUUUACCACUUGAAUACUUUUCCAGUAACAUUAAUACAGUUGGGUUGUUUUGUCAAUUAUCCACAGACUUGAACAAU